RNAcentral lists this transfer RNA (95 nucleotides) under Rhodotorula diobovata. RNAcentral's name for it is "tRNA-Phe". The record is from RNAcentral. Lineage: Eukaryota; Fungi; Basidiomycota; Microbotryomycetes; Sporidiobolales; Sporidiobolaceae.
GGCUCUUUAGCUCAGUUGGGAGAGCGACAGACUGAAGCUUGUCCUCGUGACAAGUCGCCUUCUGCAGGUCUCCGGUUCAAUCCCGGAAAGGGCCA